Molecule: ribosomal RNA, 253 nt
Filed under: uncultured bacterium
Lineage: Bacteria
Description: partial 16S ribosomal RNA
Rfam family: Bacterial small subunit ribosomal RNA
Source: RNAcentral
GACAGAGGGUGCAAACGUUGUUCGGAAUUACUGGGCGUAAAGCGCAUGUAGGCGGUUCGUAAAGUUAGAUGUGAAAGCCCUGGGCUUAACCCAGGAGGUGCAUUUGAAACUCACGAACUGGAGUCCCGGAGAGGAAGGCGGAAUUCUCGGUGUAGAGGUGAAAUUCGUAGAUAUCGAGAGGAACAUCUGCGGCGAAGGCGGCCUUCUGGACGGUGACUGACGCUGAGAUGCGAAAGCGUGGGGAGCAAACAGG